CCUACGGGCGGCAGCAGUCGAGAAUUAUUCACAAUGGGGGAAACCCUGAUGGUGCGACGCCGCGUGGGGGAAUGAAGGUCUUCGGAUUGUAACCCCCUGUCAUGUGGGAGCAAAUUAAAAAGAUAGUACCACAAGAGGAAGAGACGGCUAACUCUGUGCCAGCAGCCGCGGUAAUACAGAGGUCUCAAGCGUUGUUCGGAAUCACUGGGCGUAAAGCGUGCGUAGGCUGUUUCGUAAGUCGUGUGUGAAAGGCGCGGGCUCAACCCGCGGACGGCACAUGAUACUGCGAGACUAGAGUAAGGGAGGGGGAACCGGAAUUCUCGGUGUAGCAGUGAAAUGCGUAGAUAUCGAGAGGAACACUCGUGGCGAAGGCGGGUUCCUGGACAUUAACUGACGCUGAGGCACGAAGGCCAGGGGAGCGAAAGGGAUUAGAUACCCCUGUAGUC
Molecule: ribosomal RNA, 446 nt
Filed under: uncultured bacterium
Lineage: Bacteria
Description: partial 16S ribosomal RNA
Rfam family: Bacterial small subunit ribosomal RNA
Source: RNAcentral